GGCCCGGUAGCGGAUGGUUUGCGCACCUGCGUUCAAUACUAAAACGAAGUCUCGCAAGACACGCUUGUUCGAAUCGAGCCUGGGCCA
Molecule: non-coding RNA, 87 nt
Organism: Mycena epipterygia
Lineage: Eukaryota; Fungi; Basidiomycota; Agaricomycetes; Agaricales; Mycenaceae
Source: the annotation of a GenBank genome assembly